RNAcentral lists this ribosomal RNA (142 nucleotides) under uncultured bacterium. RNAcentral's name for it is "partial 16S ribosomal RNA". It matches the Rfam family "Bacterial small subunit ribosomal RNA", at positions 349 to 507 of the family's 1533-position model. The record is from RNAcentral.
CAGCAGUGAGGAAUAUUGCCCAAUGGACGCAAGUCUGAGGCAGCAACGCCGCGUGCGCGAUGAAGGCCUUCGGGUUGUAAAGCGCUUUUCUGGGGGAAGAGGAAGGACGGUACCUCAGGAAUAAGCACCGGCUAACUCCGUU